Molecule: ribosomal RNA, 816 nt
Filed under: Triticum aestivum (bread wheat)
Lineage: Eukaryota; Viridiplantae; Streptophyta; Magnoliopsida; Poales; Poaceae
Description: partial small subunit ribosomal RNA
Source: RNAcentral
AUGGGUGAUUGUCUUUUCUCCGUUCUUAUUGAUGAGUGCCGUGAUAUAUCGGUGAAAGAACAAAUGGCCGUGGUUAUUAGGUACUUGAGCAAACAAGGAGAGACUAUUGAACGUUUUUUAGGUAUUAAGCAUGUCCCGGACACAACAUCUGCUUCUUUAAAGAAGGCAUUGUUGGAGGUUUUUGCUAAACACGGUCUAGUUGUUGCACGACUACGAGGGCAAGGGUAUGAUGGGGCAUCUAAUAUGAGAGGAGAAUUCAAUGGCCUUCAGAAGUUAAUUCGAGAUGAGAACCCAUAUGCUUUCUAUAUCCAUUGCUUUGCCCACCAACUGCAGUUGGUAGUUGUUGCUGUUUCGAGAUGCUGCAAGGGUGUUGAGGAUUUUUUUGAAUAUGUGACCAUGAUAUCUAAUCUCAGUACGUCAUCUUGCAAGAGGAAGGAUAAAUUGCUUGACAAGCAAAAACAGGUUCUUUUGGAUAAGAUUAGGGGAGGUGAGAUGCCCACAGGAAGAGGCAAAAAUCAAGAAACAUCCUUGGUCAGACCUGGAGAUACAAGAUGGGGCUCUCAUUACACAACCUUAUCUCGCAUUGAAUCAAUGUGGGAUGCAGUCAUAGAAGUUUUGGGCAUUGUUGAGGAUGAUGUGCGUGUUCCAUGUAGAGCAGGAGGUUUGGUUCAUCAAAUGGAGACUUUUAGCUUUGUGUUCAUCCUGAAGAUGAUGCUAAAGAUCCUUCGUAUGACAAAUGAUUUGUCUCUUCUAUUGCAAAAGAAGGAUCAAAAUGUUGUUCAGGUCGAUCAUGUUAUAUGUAUCUACUCUGCUUGA